RNAcentral lists this ribosomal RNA (208 nucleotides) under uncultured bacterium. RNAcentral describes it as "partial 16S ribosomal RNA". It matches the Rfam family "Bacterial small subunit ribosomal RNA", at positions 568 to 774 of the family's 1533-position model. The record is from RNAcentral.
CGUGCAGGCGGCCACCGCAAGUUGAAUGUGAAAUCCCCGGGCUUAACCCGGGAAGUGCGUUCAAGACUGCGGGGCUUGAAUACGGGAGAGGAUCGUGGAAUUCCUGGUGUAGAGGUGAAAUUCGUAGAUAUCUGGAGGAACAUCAGUGGCGAAGGCGGCCACCUGGACCGAUACUGACGCUGAGGUGCGAAAGCGUGAGGAGCCAACA